RNAcentral lists this long non-coding RNA (299 nucleotides) under Citrus sinensis (sweet orange). Its description in RNAcentral is "long non-coding RNA (CSIN_LNC000923)". The record is from RNAcentral. Lineage: Eukaryota; Viridiplantae; Streptophyta; Magnoliopsida; Sapindales; Rutaceae.
GGGGGCUGCUGAUGGCCGGCGGCGGUGUGUGGCUGUGCAGUGAUUGGCUCUUGCAGCGGCUGAAUCUGCAUGUGUUGCGGGUGCUGCACGCUGGCGCCGGCAGCAGGGCCCUGCUGCAUCCCCAACUGAGGCGGCUGCUGCUGCUGCUGCACAUUAAAUGCAGAUGGUCUCUGAGUACCCAUCCUCAGCGGCAUGUUGGCAGUUGGUUGAGUACUCGUCAGUGGCACAUUGGGUUGGUUGCUCAUGACUGGCAUGUUGGCCCCCGGAAUUUGGCCGGCCCUCAAUGGCACAAUGCCUGU